Molecule: ribosomal RNA, 253 nt
Filed under: uncultured bacterium
Lineage: Bacteria
Description: partial 16S ribosomal RNA
Rfam family: Bacterial small subunit ribosomal RNA
Source: RNAcentral
UACGGAGGGGGCUAGCGUUGUUCGGAAUUACUGGGCGUAAAGCGCACGUAGGCGGCUUUGUAAGUUAGAGGUGAAAGCCUGGAGCUCAACUCCAGAAUAGCCUUUAAGACUGCAUCGCUUGAAUCCGGGAGAGGUGAGUGGAAUUCCGAGUGUAGAGGUGAAAUUCGUAGAUAUUCGGAAGAACACCAGUGGCGAAGGCGGCUCACUGGACCGGCAUUGACGCUGAGGUGCGAAAGCGUGGGGAGCAAACAGG